GAUGAACGCUGGCGGCGUGCCUAAUACAUGCAAGUCGAGCGAACGGACGAGAAGCUUGCUUCUCUGAUGUUAGCGGCGGACGGGCGAGUAACACGUGGAUAACCUACCUAUAAGACUGGGAUAACUUCGGGAAACCGGAGCUAAUACCGGAUAAUAUUUUGAACCGCAUGGUUCAAAAGUGAAAGACGGUCUUGCUGUCACUUAUAGAUGGAUCCGCGCUGCAUUAGCUAGUUGGUAAGGUAACGGCUUACCAAGGCAACGAUGCAUAGCCGACCUGAGAGGGUGAUCGGCCACACUGGAACUGAGACACGGUCCAGACUCCUACGGGAGGCAGCAGUAGGGAAUCUUCCGCAAUGGGCGAAAGCCUGACGGAGCAACGCCGCGUGAGUGAUGAAGGUCUUCGGAUCGUAAAACUCUGUUAUUAGGGAAGAACAUAUGUGUAAGCAACUGUGCACAUCUUGACGGUACCUAAUCAGAAAGCCACGGCUAACUACGUG
Molecule: ribosomal RNA, 497 nt
Filed under: uncultured bacterium
Lineage: Bacteria
Description: partial 16S ribosomal RNA
Rfam family: Bacterial small subunit ribosomal RNA
Source: RNAcentral